Long non-coding RNA from Acromyrmex echinatior (Panamanian leafcutter ant), 555 nucleotides. NCBI's taxonomy places the organism in Eukaryota, Metazoa, Arthropoda, Insecta, Hymenoptera, Formicidae. The record is from RefSeq and is a predicted model, not a curated record.
GAUUCGAGUCGAUUGUAGCGCGUUCUUCACGAUUCUUUCCACUGCCAAAAGCUAUUAAAAGCUGUGGCGAGCGACGGAGCGAUGGCGCUACAGAGAUGGGAGAUGAGGUGUAGUGAGGACAUAGCUACGGUUGACACGUUCUCAGAACAUUAAUCCGGACUCUAAUAAUGAACAGAGAGGGAGGUGAAGUGAGAGUCGUGCGCCCCUAAGAAAGGGGAAGAUGGAGUGGGAGUCGCUUCGCGUGAAAGUCGUGCAACCCUAUGUGAGAAGAUAAGGUAGAAUAAAUAAUUAAAAAAAUAGCCGAAAAAUGUCGAAAUUCAGAAAAGGCCCUAUUGUAAAUAAUUUCCAGAUUUUGUUCUAAUCGUGAAUGAAAAGAAGUAAAACAUGAAGAGAUGUUUGAUCUUUUCACUAAGAUAAUAUAAACUGCCGACAUUUGCAUUACCUAAUGUGCAUAUGGAGAUUGAAUAUCAUAAAUUCAAUGUGCUGGAUGACAGCAUAUGCACAGCAUAUGUUUUCAUCGAUUUUACAUCUUGAUAUAUUGGAAUUAUGAGGCCG